Molecule: ribosomal RNA, 406 nt
Filed under: uncultured bacterium
Lineage: Bacteria
Description: partial 16S ribosomal RNA
Rfam family: Bacterial small subunit ribosomal RNA
Source: RNAcentral
AUUGAACGCUGGCGGCAGGCCUAACACAUGCAAGUCGAACGCGUCGCGGACGGGUGAGUAAUGUCUGGAAAUCUGCCUGAUGGAGGGGUAUAACUACUGGAAACGGUCGAUAAUACCGCAUACCAUCAGAUGUGCCGAGAUGGGAUUAGCUUGUUGGUGGUGUAACGGCUCACCAAGGCGACGAUCCCUAGCUGGUCUGAGAGGAUGACCAGCCACACUGGAACGGAGACACGGUCCAGACUCCUACGGGAGGCAGCAGUGGGGAAUAUUGCACAAUGGGCGCAAGCCUGAUGCAGCCAUGCCGCGUGUAUGAAGAAGGCCUUCGGGUUGUAAAGUACUUUCAGCGGGGAGGCGUUACCCGCAGAAGAAGCACCGGCUAACUCCGUGCCAGCAGCCGCGGUAAUUC